Molecule: ribosomal RNA, 497 nt
Filed under: uncultured bacterium
Lineage: Bacteria
Description: partial 16S ribosomal RNA
Rfam family: Bacterial small subunit ribosomal RNA
Source: RNAcentral
GAUGAACGCUGGCGGCGUGCCUAAUACAUGCAAGUCGAGCGAACAGAUGAGGAGCUUGCUCCUCUGACGUUAGCGGCGGACGGGUGAGUAACACGUGGAUAACCUCCCUAUAAGACUGGGAUAACUUCGGGAAACCGGAGCUAAUACCGGAUAAUAUAUUGAACCGCAUGGUUCAAUAGUGAAAGACGGUUUUGCUGUCACUUAUAGAUGGAUCCGCGCCGCAUUAGCUAGUUGGUAAGGUAACGGCUUACCAAGGCAACGAUGCGUAGCCGACCUGAGAGGGUGAGCGGCCACACUGGAACUGAGACACGGUCCAGACUCCUACGGGAGGCAGCAGUAGGGAAGCUUCCGCAAUGGGCGAAAGCCUGACGGAGCAACGCCGCGUGAGUGAGGAAGGUCUUCGGAUCGUAAAACUCUGUUAUUAGGGAAGAACAAAUGUGUAAGUAACUAUGCAUGUCUUGACGGUACCUAAUCAGAAAGCCACGGCUAACUACGUG